GGAUAGCUCAGUUGGUAGAGCAUCGGAUCCAGAUUCCGAAUGUCGCGGGUUCAACUCCUGCUCCA
Molecule: transfer RNA, 65 nt
Filed under: Roseibium porphyridii
Lineage: Bacteria; Pseudomonadati; Pseudomonadota; Alphaproteobacteria; Hyphomicrobiales; Stappiaceae
Description: Roseibium sp. KMA01 tRNA-Leu
Rfam family: tRNA
About the family: Transfer RNA (tRNA) molecules are approximately 80 nucleotides in length. Their secondary structure includes four short double-helical elements and three loops (D, anti-codon, and T loops).
Source: RNAcentral